UUUCCGUAGGUGAACCUGCGGAAGGAUCAUUACUGAGUGAGGGCCCCUCGGGGUCCAACCUCCACCCGUGUUUAACGAACCUUGUUGCUUCGGCGGGCCCGCCUCACGGCCGCCGGGGGGCAUCUGCCCCCGGGCCCGCGCCCGCCGAAGCCACCUGUGAACGCUGUCUGAAGUAUGCAGUCUGAGACAAUUAUUAAAUUAAUUAAAACUUUCAACAACGGAUCUCUUGGUUCCG
This 235-nucleotide unclassified non-coding RNA is filed under the name plant metagenome. RNAcentral describes it as "partial contains small subunit ribosomal RNA, internal transcribed spacer 1, and 5.8S ribosomal RNA". The record is from RNAcentral.